GACGAACGCUGGCGGCGUGCCUAAUACAUGCAAGUAGAACGCUGAAGAGAGGAGCUUGCUCUUCUUGGAUGAGUUGCGAACGGGUGAGUAACGCGUAGGUAACCUGCCUUGUAGCGGGGGAUAACUAUUGGAAACGAUAGCUAAUACCGCAUAACAAUGGAUGACACAUGUCAUUUAUUUGAAAGGGGCAAUUGCUCCACUACAAGAUGGACCUGCGUUGUAUUAGCUAGUAGGUGAGGUAACGGCUCACCUAGGCGACGAUACAUAGCCGACCUGAGAGGGUGAUCGGCCACACUGGGACUGAGACACGGCCCAGACUCCUACGGGAGGCAGCAGUAGGGAAUCUUCGGCAAUGGGGGCAACCCUGACCGAGCAACGCCGCGUGAGUGAAGAAGGUUUUCGGAUCGUAAAGCUCGGUUGUAAGUCAAGAACGAGUGUGAGAGUGGAAAGUUCACACUGUGACGGUAGCUUACCAGAAAGGGACGGCUAACUACGUG
RNAcentral lists this ribosomal RNA (497 nucleotides) under uncultured bacterium. RNAcentral describes it as "partial 16S ribosomal RNA". It matches the Rfam family "Bacterial small subunit ribosomal RNA", at positions 28 to 507 of the family's 1533-position model. The record is from RNAcentral.